UAAAAGAGGUCGCAACCGACAUUAGUAAAUGAGGGAGUCACUGUAAUGACUAUGAACUCAUCGAAAGGGGAAGUUGCCGAAGUGUUGGAUCUUACAGGAUCUGAUGAACUGGGGCGUAUUAAUAAGAGAAUACGAACUGUCGUGAUCUAAUGUCACGGUGAGCUU
RNAcentral lists this non-coding RNA (165 nucleotides) under uncultured Companilactobacillus sp. RNAcentral describes it as "Lysine riboswitch". It matches the Rfam family "Lysine riboswitch aptamer". From Rfam's summary of the family: Riboswitches are metabolite binding domains within certain messenger RNAs that serve as precision sensors for their corresponding targets. Allosteric rearrangement of mRNA structure is mediated by ligand binding, and this results in modulation of gene expression. Lineage: Bacteria; Bacillati; Bacillota; Bacilli; Lactobacillales; Lactobacillaceae. The record is from RNAcentral.